This 69-nucleotide transfer RNA is filed under the name Ictidomys tridecemlineatus (thirteen-lined ground squirrel). RNAcentral describes it as "Spermophilus tridecemlineatus (thirteen-lined ground squirrel) tRNA". It matches the Rfam family "tRNA". From Rfam's summary of the family: Transfer RNA (tRNA) molecules are approximately 80 nucleotides in length. Their secondary structure includes four short double-helical elements and three loops (D, anti-codon, and T loops). Further hydrogen bonds mediate the characteristic L-shaped molecular structure. tRNAs have two regions of fundamental functional importance: the anti-codon, which is responsible for specific mRNA codon recognition, and the 3' end, to which the tRNAs corresponding amino acid is attached (by aminoacyl-tRNA synthetases). tRNAs cope with the degeneracy of the genetic code in two manners: having more than one tRNA (with a specific anti-codon) for a particular amino acid; and 'wobble' base-pairing, i.e. permitting non-standard base-pairing at the 3rd anti-codon position. Lineage: Eukaryota; Metazoa; Chordata; Mammalia; Rodentia; Sciuridae. The record is from Rfam by way of RNAcentral.
GGGGUUGUGGCUCAGCGGUAGAGCACUCGUCUAGCAUGUGUGAGGCCUUGGGUUCGAUCCUCAGCACCA